This 367-nucleotide ribosomal RNA is filed under the name uncultured cyanobacterium. Its description in RNAcentral is "bacterial SSU rRNA". It matches the Rfam family "Bacterial small subunit ribosomal RNA", at positions 399 to 780 of the family's 1533-position model. Lineage: Bacteria; Bacillati; Cyanobacteriota. The record is from RNAcentral.
GCGUGAGGGAUGGANGGCCUAUGGGUUGUAAACCGCUUUUGAUAGGGAAGAAGCACUGACGGUACCUAUCGAAUCAGCAUCGGCUAACUCCGUGCCAGCAGCCGCGGUAAUACGGAGGAUGCAAGCGUUAUCCGGAAUUAUUGGGCGUAAAGCGUCCGUAGGUGGUUGUUCAAGUCUGGUGUUAAAGCGUGCGGCUUAACCGCAUACCAGCGGGGGAAACUGGGCGACUAGAGUGCGGUAGGGGUCAGGGGAAUUCCCGGUGUAGCGGUGAAAUGCGUAGAUAUUGGGAAGAACACCGGUGGCGAAAGCGCCUGACUGGACCUGCACUGACACUGAGGGACGAAAGCUAGGGGAGCGAAAGGGAUUA